RNAcentral lists this ribosomal RNA (468 nucleotides) under uncultured bacterium. Its description in RNAcentral is "partial 16S ribosomal RNA". It matches the Rfam family "Bacterial small subunit ribosomal RNA", at positions 28 to 507 of the family's 1533-position model. The record is from RNAcentral.
GACGAACGCUGGCGGCGUGCUUAACACAUGCAAGUCGAACGGAAAGGCCCUGCUUUUGUGGGGUGCUCGAGUGGCGAACGGGUGAGUAACACGUGAGUAACCUGCCCUUGACUUUGGGAUAACUUCAGGAAACUGGGGCUAAUACCGGAUAGGAGCUCCUGCUGCAUGGUGGGGGUUGGAAAGUUUCGGCGGUUGGGGAUGGACUCGCGGCUUAUCAGCUUGUUGGUGGGGUAGUGGCUUACCAAGGCUUUGACGGGUAGCCGGCCUGGGAGGGUGACCGGCCACAUUGGGACUAAGAUACGGCCCAAACUCCUACGGGAGGCAGCAGUGGGGAAUAUUGCACAAUGGGCGGAAGCCUGAUGCAGCAACGCAGCGUGCGGGAUGACGGCCUUCGGGUUGUAAACCGCUUUCGCCUGUGACGAAGCGUGAGUGACGGUAAUGGGUAAAGAAGCACCGGCUAACUACGUG